RNAcentral lists this long non-coding RNA (857 nucleotides) under Nicotiana tabacum (common tobacco). RNAcentral's name for it is "long non-coding RNA (NTAB_LNC000603)". The record is from RNAcentral. Lineage: Eukaryota; Viridiplantae; Streptophyta; Magnoliopsida; Solanales; Solanaceae.
GAAAAAGAUUGAUUAUUUUCAAGAAUAAAGUUGUUCUGCAAUGGCUCUUUUGAACAAGAGGCUGUCAAGGUUUUCCUUGCGUGAGAGUCCGGAAUCUUGAUCCUCCAUAUCUAGACACUUGAUUGAAUUUUCGGCGGGAUCUUGAUUUAUUUGAUUUCGUUAGUUUAGCCUUGAUUGAUCCUGUAAGUAUCCUCUGAUUGAUUUCUUCUUCCUUUAAUCGCGUCUCUUUUCCUUGAUGUCCUCUGAUAUGUUCCGUCAAUCUUGUAUAUCAAUCCAUAUAUUCCUUGAUCAUUGCUGAUUGAUUUCGCCAAUCUUGAAAGCUAUUCAAGAGUUCCUAUACAAAGAGCAAAUAUAUUAUUUUCAUCAUUAAAAUUAGAUCUAACAAUCUCCUCCUUUUUGAUAAUGACAAAAUAAUAUAUGUAUAAACAUCAGUUGACUUUCAUGUAUGCUCCUCCUCAAUAGGAGCAGUUAACUCUGUCUUGUACUAAGUAGCUUGAGGCGCUCCCCCUCAAUAAGAGUAGUUAACUCUCUCUUAUAGUAAGUAGCUUGAGGCGCAUGUAGCCUGUCACGACCCAAACCGAUGAGCCGCGACGGGCAUCUAGUACCUUACUCAAUCGAGUACUAACAUAACAUAUAUUUCUUAUUACAUCAUCAUGUACACGUGACAUACGGGCCUAAUAGGACAACAUAAUUAUUUAUAAACUCAAAAUAUAGGCCGACAAGGUCGUACAAUCUUUCACGUACACGCCAUAUGUCUACAAGCCUCUAAGAGUACAUAAAUAUCAUAAAGGUCGGGACAAAGUCCCGCCAUACCAAACAAUACACGUCUAAAUCAUACUAACCAAACAAGCAACUCC